UACGUAGAAUGCAAGCGUUAUCCGGAAUUAUUAAACGUAAAGAACUCGUAGACAAUUUGUCGCAUCUGCUGUGAAAACUGGGGGCUCAACCCCCAGCCUGCAGUGGGUACGGGCAGACUAGAGUGCGGUAGGGGAGAUUGGAAUUCCUGGUGUAGCGGUGGAAUGCGCAGAUAUCAGGAGGAACACCAAUGGCGAAGGCAGAUCUCUGGGCCGUUACUGACGCUGAGGAGCGAAAGCAUGGGGAGCGAACAGG
RNAcentral lists this ribosomal RNA (253 nucleotides) under uncultured bacterium. RNAcentral's name for it is "partial 16S ribosomal RNA". It matches the Rfam family "Bacterial small subunit ribosomal RNA", at positions 524 to 776 of the family's 1533-position model. The record is from RNAcentral.